RNAcentral lists this long non-coding RNA (232 nucleotides) under Zea mays. RNAcentral's name for it is "long non-coding RNA (ZMAY_LNC003591)". The record is from RNAcentral. Lineage: Eukaryota; Viridiplantae; Streptophyta; Magnoliopsida; Poales; Poaceae.
GUCGCCGAGGCAGUUCCUCCCGCAGCCCGCGCGCGGCUUGUCGGCGUCCUCCUGGUAGUUGGAGACGACGGUGGGCACCCUCCUGAUGGUCAGCUUCAUCUCCAUGCCGGUAGGUCGGUCAGUUACUCUCGGGGUGAGAACUCGUCGGGGUCCGGGGGGGUUAGCAGAAGGGACUAAUUGCUAGGAAAGGAAGAAGGUGAGAGACAGGAACGGCUCAGAGGCGACCGCCGCC